GGCAGUUCAGGUUUUAAUGGAGGGCAACAGUAUUUCUUUGCAAUGGUUAACAAUACUAGUAGAAACAGAAUAUGAAAUGAAAAGUGGGGAAAGGCUUCAUGAGUAUGAAUUUAUUUGAAUGAAGAAAAAUUUCAAUGUUACUUAGGCUGAAUAAAGACAAUGAUCAUUAAGUAAUUCUAGAAAAUAGAGAUUAUUCUAGAUAAAUGAUCCUUAUAAGAUUCCUUUGAUUCCUGUUAAUUGCAAUCCAAUACAUAAAUAUUGAAGGCUUAUUAUGAGCAAAUUACUCUUUUUCGUAUGACAAAGAUGAAAAUACUUCUGCCGGUUAACAUUUUAUAAUUCUAUGACCUUAUGAUUCUGAACACCUACGUAAGAUAUUUUUAAACCUUGACAGUUACAUUGGGAGAUUUACAUCAAGAACCAGCACUAUGGAGUCAGAAUUUGCAUGGAGUUCUAUCUUCAAAGUUUUACUACAAACCGGUGCCACUGGGUCAUUUUUAGAUUCAGACCAUUGGUUAGUGGCUUCUCCCCACAGUGAACCGGACAGUCAUGUGCCACUUGGCAGUUUUCAAGGUAUGAGUUUAUUCUGUUUGAUGUUCUGUCAAUUUCUCCAGGGGACAAGCAGCCAGAUGGUUAAUUGCCCUUCCUUAAGCACAGACGCACUCACAGAAAAGGUGUGAGGAAGGACCCCUCCGAAAGAGGAGCCUCUCACAGAGCAGGCUGAGCCGCUGUACAGAGUUGAGAUUGUUGACCCACUGAUUGUGCCUGAAAGGCUUUUCAGCCACACAAAACCCUGGGCUUCCUCAUUAGCAUAUCAGAGGUGGCGCAGUGGUGGGAAAUACUGCAGGCAACAA
This 851-nucleotide long non-coding RNA is filed under the name Homo sapiens (human). RNAcentral describes it as "non-protein coding lnc-TMSB4X-9:1". The record is from RNAcentral. Lineage: Eukaryota; Metazoa; Chordata; Mammalia; Primates; Hominidae.